RNAcentral lists this ribosomal RNA (492 nucleotides) under uncultured bacterium. Its description in RNAcentral is "partial 16S ribosomal RNA". It matches the Rfam family "Bacterial small subunit ribosomal RNA", at positions 29 to 507 of the family's 1533-position model. The record is from RNAcentral.
AGUGAACGCUGGCGGUAGGCCUAACACAUGCAAGUCGAACGGCAGCACAGUAAGAGCUUGCUCUUACGGGUGGCGAGUGGCGGACGGGUGAGGAAUACAUCGGAAUCUACUUUUUCGUGGGGGAUAACGUAGGGAAACUUACGCUAAUACCGCAUACGACCUACGGGUGAAAGCAGGGGAUCUUCGGACCUUGCGCGAUUGAAUGAGCCGAUGUCGGAUUAGCUAGUUGGCGGGGUAAAGGCCCACCAAGGCGACGAUCCGUAGCUGGUCUGAGAGGAUGAACAGGCACACUGGAACUGAGACACGGUCCAGACUCCUACGGGAGGCAGCAGUGGGGAAUAUUGGACAAUGGGCGCAAGCCUGAUCCAGCCAUACCGCGUGGGUGAAGAAGGCCUUCGGGUUGUAAAGCCCUUUUGUUGGGAAAGAAAAGCAGCAGGUUAAUACCCUGCUGUUCUGACGGUACCCAAAGAAUAAGCACCGGCUAACUUCGUG